UCCGAGUUGACCCCGGCAGUCUCCUACGAGUCCCCGCCAUUACGCGCUGGCAACAUAGGACAAGGGUUGCGCUCGUUGCGGGACUUAACCCAACAUCUCACGACACGAGCUGACGACAGCCAUGCAGCACCUGUACACCGGCCCCGAAGGGCUGCCGUAUUUCUACGGCAUUCCGGUGCAUGUCAAGCCUUGGUAAGGUUCUUCGCGUCGCGUCGAAUUAAACCACAUGCUCCGCUGCUUGUGCGGGUCCCCGUCAAUUCCUUUGAGUUUUAGCCUUGCGGCCGUACUCCCCAGGCGGGGUGCUUAAUGCGUUAGCUGCGGCACGGACGGAGUCGACACCGCCCACACCUAGCACCCAACGUUUACGGCUAGGACUAC
RNAcentral lists this unclassified non-coding RNA (378 nucleotides) under uncultured Gaiellales bacterium. RNAcentral's name for it is "contains 16S-23S intergenic spacer region". The record is from RNAcentral. Lineage: Bacteria; Bacillati; Actinomycetota; Thermoleophilia; Gaiellales.